This 829-nucleotide ribosomal RNA is filed under the name Bacillus zhangzhouensis. Its description in RNAcentral is "bacterial SSU rRNA". It matches the Rfam family "Bacterial small subunit ribosomal RNA", at positions 56 to 868 of the family's 1533-position model. Lineage: Bacteria; Bacillati; Bacillota; Bacilli; Caryophanales; Bacillaceae. The record is from RNAcentral.
UGCAGUCGAGCGGACAGAAGGGAGCUUGCUCCCGGAUGUUAGCGGCGGACGGGUGAGUAACACGUGGGUAACCUGCCUGUAAGACUGGGAUAACUCCGGGAAACCGGAGCUAAUACCGGAUAGUUCCUUGAACCGCAUGGUUCAAGGAUGAAAGACGGUUUCGGCUGUCACUUACAGAUGGACCCGCGGCGCAUUAGCUAGUUGGUGGGGUAAUGGCUCACCAAGGCGACGAUGCGUAGCCGACCUGAGAGGGUGAUCGGCCACACUGGGACUGAGACACGGCCCAGACUCCUACGGGAGGCAGCAGUAGGGAAUCUUCCGCAAUGGACGAAAGUCUGACGGAGCAACGCCGCGUGAGUGAUGAAGGUUUUCGGAUCGUAAAGCUCUGUUGUUAGGGAAGAACAAGUGCGAGAGUAACUGCUCGCACCUUGACGGUACCUAACCAGAAAGCCACGGCUAACUACGUGCCAGCAGCCGCGGUAAUACGUAGGUGGCAAGCGUUGUCCGGAAUUAUUGGGCGUAAAGGGCUCGCAGGCGGUUUCUUAAGUCUGAUGUGAAAGCCCCCGGCUCAACCGGGGAGGGUCAUUGGAAACUGGGAAACUUGAGUGCAGAAGAGGAGAGUGGAAUUCCACGUGUAGCGGUGAAAUGCGUAGAGAUGUGGAGGAACACCAGUGGCGAAGGCGACUCUCUGGUCUGUAACUGACGCUGAGGAGCGAAAGCGUGGGGAGCGAACAGGAUUAGAUACCCUGGUAGUCCACGCCGUAAACGAUGAGUGCUAAGUGUUAGGGGGUUUCCGCCCCUUAGUGCUGCAGCUAACGCAUUAAGCACU